Molecule: long non-coding RNA, 430 nt
Filed under: Gossypium raimondii (Peruvian cotton)
Lineage: Eukaryota; Viridiplantae; Streptophyta; Magnoliopsida; Malvales; Malvaceae
Description: long non-coding RNA (GRAI_LNC008177)
Source: RNAcentral
UAUUUCUGGUAAACUCAUAUUAGAAUGAGUCUGUUGGUUCAAGUGGUGAGGUGUUAGCUUGCCCUAUGGUCUUAUGUUUGAAUCUCUGUAUGAGCGUGAAUGAUAUUUUUGUUUUGAUUGUCUGUUAGAGGUUUGGUGGAGUUGAAAGUCCGUGUUAGUAGAUGAGUGAGUGGGUAGUUAGGAUUGGUUGGAGUGUGAGAUCAUGCCUUAAUUUGGGGAUUUUUUUUAUUUAAAUUUUAUUUUAUUUUCUAUUUUCUCUCUUUUUCCCAAACUUUGUUUCUGACGUUAGUUCCUUCCUUUCUCUGCAACUUUUCUUCUUCUUUUUCGUUUUAUUACAAACCUGUCCAUAACCUGUUGUUCGUAUUGUUGUAUUUUGGAAAUUUCGAUGUUUAUUGUGCGAUUCUGGUAAGUGAGGUUUCACUUGUUUGUG